Molecule: long non-coding RNA, 980 nt
Organism: Scleropages formosus (Asian bonytongue)
Lineage: Eukaryota; Metazoa; Chordata; Actinopteri; Osteoglossiformes; Osteoglossidae
Exons: 3
Source: RefSeq, a predicted model, not a curated record
UCUAUUGUAUCUGAUAUCUAUUAUAGCACUCUAUUAACACAGUCACAAUUUUUCCAAAACAAAACCAUCUACUUUAUAUACUUCCUACCUCCUCUGCAUCACACUGACAAUCUCAAUCACAGCCAUCAAGUUAAAUAGAAAUUAUAAUUGAGAUGCUAUUAUUAGUUUGUUUAGAUGACACUUUCAUCGAAGUGGCAAUAUUAAGCUACUUACAAUUGUUUUCCUAUUUAUACUGCAGGAUAAUUUUUACUGUAUCAAUUCAGAGUAAGUAGCUUGGUCAAGAGGACCCAGUGGGUACAGCUGAUGCCUCAGAGUUCUUGAGCUGCUUGGUGGGCGCAUGAAAAAAGACUUUUGAAAGCCGCUUCUGUUCCACCCUUGCCUGCAAAAUCACGUGAAUCAUUGCCAAGGGUUGGCUUCAACUGGCUGGCAAUUCCACUCAAACUUUGCUCAAAGACUGUUCCAGACCCCAGACUGCUGUAACACUCCUUACUGGUUCACUUCCUUCACCCGGAAAACCUAGGGGUGAGUCCUGAGAUGUCCCUAAUCUCUCACUCAAGGACAGAAGUAGAGACAGGAGGAGAGAUCUGCAGUAUGGACGUCAGACAUGUGGACUGAGCCUGCUUGCAAAUAUCCGCGGCCCUACCUGACAAUUUCUCCAUAUUCAGUUCUGAGCUUUCCUACAUGUCCUCGUCACAGUGUUACUUCCUGUCUGCCCCACUUUGCUCCUUGUCCAUCCACAUUGUGGAAAUAUAGGAGUUCCUCUCUCCAAUACUGAUGUUUCCUGUGGCUCUGCAGCUUGUGAUGGUCUGCUCAAACACCAUGAAGUGACUUAUUACACUAUGAACAUGGUAACUGAAGUACUGUUCUACUUCCAUACAUACUGUACGUAUAUGUGGUGUACGCCUUAGUGAGUUUGGUGAAGAUCUGGUUUAGGGUUAUAGUAUUUUUGGAGUUGUAUUGUACAUUAUUGCUGUACAAAA